This 312-nucleotide ribosomal RNA is filed under the name Triticum aestivum (bread wheat). RNAcentral describes it as "partial small subunit ribosomal RNA". Lineage: Eukaryota; Viridiplantae; Streptophyta; Magnoliopsida; Poales; Poaceae. The record is from RNAcentral.
AUCCUCAAGCUCGAUUUCGCCAAAGCUUUCGACUCCAUUGACUGGAGGAGCCUCCGCCGGAUCAUGAGGGCUCAGGGCUUCCCCGAGCUUUGGUGUGAUUGGAUGGACGCCAUCUUCUAGUCCUCUCGCUCGGCCGUCCUGCUCAACGGUGUGCCGGGGCGGUGGUUCACGAUCCAGUGCAGUCUGCGCCAGGGGGAUCCGAUCUCCCCCUACCUCUUCCUCCUGGUGGCCGACGUCCUCCAACGCAUGAUCCGGCAAGACGAUGUACUGAUGCACCCGCUGGUGGACAGCGAGCCCCCGGUCGUGCUUUAG